Long non-coding RNA from Manis pentadactyla (Chinese pangolin), 1684 nucleotides. RefSeq lists it as uncharacterized. The record is from RefSeq and is a predicted model, not a curated record. NCBI's taxonomy places the organism in Eukaryota, Metazoa, Chordata, Mammalia, Pholidota, Manidae. The transcript is spliced from 3 exons.
CGAUCAAAUUAAAGUGUUGUGAUGAAGAUAGUCUUAAGAUCUUGUCUGCACACACCAGAUAGUUUCUAACAAAUAUGAAGAUCUCUAACAGUCUCUGGUACCAAGGAUUCCUACAUUUUGAUAAAAAACAGGAUGACAACUUUCUAACUGGGGACCACAAGAAAAAUAGUACUUUAUUAACGCAGUGUUUCCUAAAAGUAGUUAAAAAUAAGGAAAGCAUACAUUCUUAGGCUUUGUACUUAUACAGCAACAUAGUUAUUUGCAUAGGUUCAAUAAAAAUCUCUUCUUCCUUUAAUCAGGACACAACUGGAUGACAUGAUUUUGCAACCACAGACUUAGCUAAAGUGUUCUAUUUGGGAAUGAUUCAUAGUGUCUCAGGCAUGACAAGCCACUUUGAAGGAAUCAAGGUCAACUUUACUCAUGUACCUGAUGUCUACAAAGCACCCCAAGGAAAACUAGCUUGGAUGGGCCUUGGCAGUCAAGAUCCCAGCCUUAAGGAAUUAAGGAAGAUCCGUCACUGGCAGGUCAGGAACCUCAGCAAACUGUGGAGCCUCAAGAAGAGAAUUCACCUGAAUUUAGGCCAGAAUAAUUAAGUCCUCAAAGCAGGUAAGUUGGUGAUUUUCCACAAACGAACAGAAACUCCAGCCUGCAGAGGUGUUUAAAGGCAAUUUAAAGUUUUAUGUGGCCUGCCAUCACCAGUGACAGACACCCGAAACCUGAAGGUCCAGGCACAGGGACAGUUACAUCCUGAUACAACCAACCCAGAGGGAAAAGGAGGAUGACACCCACGUGGUCUCAACGCUGUCUGGUCCUGCAGCUCAGACUUCUUCAUUUUGCACAGCAGGGAACAACAUUUAAAAAGUGUUACUGUCCUACUGUAAGCUCUCUCAUCACAGGGCCGGAGCCCUGCACCCAGCAGGCCCUGGAAGAUCAGUAAAUGGAAUCCAACAGGAGCCCGGCAUGUGACUAUCUAUGACACACUUGUAGAGGAAUAACUCAAUCUGAGAACUUUUCAUGCCUCUAGAAAAAGUCACCUGUAAUUCAAGGGACGUAGAAAUGUCAGUAACUUACAGCAAAGGUAUUCUCCAGGAUGCUGGACGUGUCUGUGUCUACUCUUCCGCACUUGAACUGUUGCGAACCUGAGGCCUUUUGCUUCUCUACUUCUGCCACCUCGCUUUCCCUCAUCUCUGCCUCACCCCCCUUAUCACUCCAGACAGGAUAAAAUAUAGCUAUCAAAACACUAAUACGAAUUAACCCAUUUUAAGCUUCAGGGAUUUUUUUUUUUUUAAAGCUUCGUAGCGUUUGGCAACUGUCAGCCAGCCACAAACCCAUCCUCGCAAAUCCAACAAUUUGUGACUUUCUGGGCGAAAUUUCCUCUUCAGGGCCUUUCCGGCCAGUGCCAGCAUCCACCCGCCCCUCCGCACACCCCACGCCCCAGCUGCGGGCCCGUGGCCAGGGCAAGCAACUCCUCUGCGCCCCCAUUUGCAGAAGGAGGAGAACAAUAAUCUCAGAGGGUUUUUCCCCCGUGGGGCUGCGGAGGGAGUGCACGGUGCCCGGCAUACACUCAGCAUCCAGCUUGGCCGCAACGGUGGGCAUCUUCACUGUCCCGGGCGAGGCGGGCCCGGCGGCGGGGGGCCUCCGGCGCUCGGCGGAGGGUGGGAAGACGGGGCCGCACGGGCGCGGC